UGUGCUUGCACAUCGCUGACGAGUGGCGGACGGGUGAGUAAUGGUGGGGAACUUGCCUUUGGGAGGGGGAUAACAGUUGGAAACGGCUGCUAAUACCGCAUAAUGUCUUCGGACCAAACGGGGCUUCUGCUCCGGCGCAAAGAGAGGCCCAAGUGAGAUUAGCUAGUUGGUAAGGUAACGGCUUACCAAGGCGACUAUCUCUAGCUGUUCUGAGAGGAAGAUCACCCACACUGGGACUGAGACACGGCCCACACUCCUACGGGAGGCAGCAGUGGGGAAUAUUGCACAAUGGGGGAAACCCUGAUGCACCCAUGCCGCGUGUGUGAAGAAGGCCUUCGGGUUGUAAAGCACUUUCAGUUGUGAGGAAAAGUUAAUAUUUAAUACCUGCUACCCGUGACGUUAACAACAAAAGAAGCACCGGCUAACUCCGUGCCAGCAGCCGCGGUAAUACGGAGGGUGCGAGCGUUAAUCGGAAUUACUGGGCGUAAAGCGCACGCCGGC
This 501-nucleotide ribosomal RNA is filed under the name uncultured Alteromonas sp. RNAcentral describes it as "bacterial SSU rRNA". It matches the Rfam family "Bacterial small subunit ribosomal RNA", at positions 75 to 576 of the family's 1533-position model. Lineage: Bacteria; Pseudomonadati; Pseudomonadota; Gammaproteobacteria; Alteromonadales; Alteromonadaceae. The record is from RNAcentral.